This is a long non-coding RNA of Anguilla anguilla (European eel), 831 nucleotides long. RefSeq lists it as uncharacterized. The record is from RefSeq and is a predicted model, not a curated record. The transcript has 4 exons. Lineage: Eukaryota; Metazoa; Chordata; Actinopteri; Anguilliformes; Anguillidae.
GUAAACAAAUGGUUAACGUCUUUGUGCGAAUAUUAUCAUUUUUUCAUUAUGUCAUUCUGUUUGGUUCUUAACACAUUACUUCUGAAGGAUCCAAAAUAUUAUGGGUAUCCUGUUGUAUUUGACCUUAAAAUGGUGGAUACUGAAAUGACCCAAAUGAAUAACAUUAGGGUACUUUCAAUUAACAUUUAAUGGACAAGUUUGCUCACCCAGCAAAAUCAAAAAAAGAAAGAAUUGUUCGUAAAUUUUGCGCGAGGUUCAGGUAUCUUUGCAGCUUUGUCGAAUUUGAAAAGUUGCCUGAUAUGUUUACAAGAAGUAAUACUGUAUGUCUUCAGUAAAGAGUUUGAAAAAAAAAAGAAGGAAGAUAAGAAACUAGGCAUUGACACACCAUGGCAGUAUCCUGCUUUCAUCGGAAUGAAGAGUCCCAACUCCCAACCUUCCCCAAACACCAAAUUAUAAGCAGUGGCUAUUAAUAUUGCAACCAGUCCACCAAUGAAGCUUGCACAGAUGUUGAAUCAGAGGAGGACACUUCAUGUGCUGCUUGUGCAGGCAGAUUUUGGUGCCGAUUAACCUGAGGAAAGUGCUGACGGAGACGACAAAAUGGCAGACAAGAAUAGGAGAAGCCGACUAUCCAGUGCUUCCUGGCAUUGCAGCAAUGACAAGGUCAAACUAAUGACAAGAACCGAAGCUCAACAAAGCUGGCUUUUAAAGGAUGAGUGCAAAUAUGCCAAGAAUAUUAAAAAAUGAUUGAUGAUCACCCCCUGCCUUGUAGAAAAUCUGAAGACAUGCUUGUGUAAGCAAAUCUGAACAAUAAAUUUUCCAUUAUACAGAGUA